GAUGAAGAACGUAGUGAAAUGCGAUAAGUAAUGUGAAUUGCAGAAUUCAGUGAAUCAUCGAAUCUUUGAACGCACCUUGCGCCCUUUGGCUAUUCCGAAGGGCAUGCCUGUUUGAGUAUCAUGAAAACCUCAACUCUCAUGGCUUGCCAUGAUGAGCUUGGACUCUGGGGGUCUUGCUGGCUUUACGGUCAGCUCCUCUCAAAUAAAUCAGCUUGCCGGUGUUUGGUGGGAUCACAGGUGUGAUAACUAUCUACGCUUGUGGUUUUCCGCCAGGUAACCUUCAGCAAUGGAGGUUCGCUGGAGCUCAUAAAUGUCUCUCCUCAGCGAGGACAGAUUUUGACCGUUUGAUCUCAAAUCAGGUAGGACUACCCGCUGAACUUAAGCAUAUCAAUAAGCGGAGGA
RNAcentral lists this unclassified non-coding RNA (402 nucleotides) under soil metagenome. RNAcentral describes it as "partial contains 5.8S ribosomal RNA, internal transcribed spacer 2, and large subunit ribosomal RNA". The stretch from base 1 to 121 matches the Rfam family "5.8S ribosomal RNA", at positions 35 to 154 of the family's 154-position model. The record is from RNAcentral.